GAUGAACGCUGGCGGCGUGCUUAACACAUGCAAGUCGAACGGGAAACCUUUUAAUGAAGCUUCGGCAGAUUUAGCUGGUUUCUAGUGGCGGACGGGUGAGUAACGCGUGGGUAACCUGCCUUAUACAGGGGGAUAACAGUCAGAAAUGACUGCUAAUACCGCAUAAGCGCACAGGACCGCAUGGUCCGGUGUGAAAAACUCCGGUGGUAUAAGAUGGACCCGCGUUGGAUUAGCUUGUUGGUGGGGUAACGGCUCACCAAGGCGACGAUCCAUAGCCGGCCGGAGAGGGUGAACGGCCACAUUGGGACUGAGACACGGCCCAGACUCCUACGGGAGGCAGCAGUGGGGAAUAUUGCACAAUGGGGGAAACCCUGAUGCAGCGACGCCGCGUGAAGGAAGAAGUAUCUCGGUAUGUAAACUUCUAUCAGCAGGGAAGAUAGUGACGGUACCUGACUAAGAAGCCCCGGCUAACUACGUG
Molecule: ribosomal RNA, 478 nt
Filed under: uncultured bacterium
Lineage: Bacteria
Description: partial 16S ribosomal RNA
Rfam family: Bacterial small subunit ribosomal RNA
Source: RNAcentral